CUCUAAGGCCAUACCACCCUGAAGGUGCCCCAUCAUCUCCUCUGAUCUCAGAAGCUAAGCAGGGUCAGGUCUGGUUAGUACUUGGAUGGGAGAAUGUGCGUGAGACAUUGGCCUCUUCAUCAG
Molecule: non-coding RNA, 123 nt
Organism: Nomascus leucogenys (northern white-cheeked gibbon)
Lineage: Eukaryota; Metazoa; Chordata; Mammalia; Primates; Hylobatidae
Source: Rfam